This 456-nucleotide ribosomal RNA is filed under the name Clostridioides difficile. Its description in RNAcentral is "bacterial LSU rRNA". It matches the Rfam family "Bacterial large subunit ribosomal RNA", at positions 1407 to 1872 of the family's 2925-position model. Lineage: Bacteria; Bacillati; Bacillota; Clostridia; Peptostreptococcales; Peptostreptococcaceae. The record is from RNAcentral.
AGGCGUAGGUGAUGGACAACAGGUUGAUAUUCCUGUACUACCGAUAACCGUUUGAGAGAAGGGAUGACACAGUAGGAUAAGCUAAGCACCCUGUUGGUUGUGUGUGCCCAAGCAUUGAGGCAGUCAAAGUAGGCAAAUCCGCUUUGAUAAUGCUGGGAUGUGCUGGGGAGCGAAAUUUAGUAGCGAAGUAGCUGAUUUCACACUGUCAAGACAAGUCUCUAUCGCGGUUAAAGGUACCCGUACCGCAAACCGACACACGUUGGCGCGGAGAGUAUCCUAAGGCCCGCGAGCGACCUGUUGUUAAGGAACUCGGCAAAAUGACCCCGUAACUUAGGGAUAAGGGGUGCCACCAUCAGGUGGCCGCAGAGAAUAGGCCCAAGCGACUGUUUACCAAAAACAUAGGUUUCUGCUAAGUCGCAAGACGAUGUAUAGGAGCUGACGCCUGCCCGGUGCUGG